RNAcentral lists this ribosomal RNA (253 nucleotides) under uncultured bacterium. RNAcentral describes it as "partial 16S ribosomal RNA". It matches the Rfam family "Bacterial small subunit ribosomal RNA", at positions 524 to 776 of the family's 1533-position model. The record is from RNAcentral.
UACAGAGGGGGCAAGCGUUAUUCGGAAUUAUUGGGCGUAAAGGGCGCGUAGGCGGCGUCUCAAGUGGAUGGUGAAAUCCCCGGGCUUAACCUGGGAACUGCCGUCCAAACUGAGAGGCUUGAGUCCGGGAGAGGUAAGUGGAAUUCCCAGUGUAGCGGUGAAAUGCGUAGAUAUUGGGAGGAACACCGGUGGCGAAGGCGGUUCUCUGGGCAUUACCUGACGCUGAGGAGCGAAAGUGUGGGGAGCGAACAGG